Molecule: ribosomal RNA, 496 nt
Filed under: uncultured bacterium
Lineage: Bacteria
Description: partial 16S ribosomal RNA
Rfam family: Bacterial small subunit ribosomal RNA
Source: RNAcentral
ACUGAACGCUGGCGGCAUGCUUUACACAUGCAAGUCGAACGGUAGAGGGGGCAACCCCUUGAGAGUGGCGAACGGGUGAGUAAUGCAUCGGAACGUGCCCAGUCGUGGGGGAUAACGCAGCGAAAGCUGUGCUAAUACCGCAUACGAUCUCUGGAUGAAAGCGGGGGACCGAAGGGCCUCGCGCGAUUGGAGCGGCCGAUGUCAGAUUAGGUAGUUGGUGGGGUAAAGGCUCACCAAGCCAACGAUCUGUAGCUGGUCUGAGAGGACGACCAGCCACACUGGGACUGAGACACGGCCCAGAUUCCUACGGGAGGCAGCAGUGGGGAAUUUUGGACAAUGGGCGCAAGCCUGAUCCAGCAAUGCCGCGUGCAGGAAGAAGGCCUUCGGGUUGUAAACUGCUUUUGUACGGAACGAAAAGGUCUGGGUUAAUACCCUGGGCACAUGACGGUACCGUAAGAAUAAGCACCGGCUAACUACGUGCCAGCCGCCGCAGUAA